UUAUAUUACUCGUUUA
RNAcentral lists this small RNA (16 nucleotides) under Arabidopsis thaliana (thale cress). RNAcentral's name for it is "ATSL308050". Lineage: Eukaryota; Viridiplantae; Streptophyta; Magnoliopsida; Brassicales; Brassicaceae. The record is from RNAcentral.